UGGCAAUGAUGGCGAAGAGGUCACACCCGUUCCCAUUCCGAACACGGAAGUUAAGUUCUUCAGCGCCGAUGGUAGUUGGGGGUUUCCCCCUGUGAGAGUAGGACGUUGCCAG
RNAcentral lists this ribosomal RNA (112 nucleotides) under Peribacillus simplex. RNAcentral also lists the same sequence under 4 other names. Lineage: Bacteria; Bacillati; Bacillota; Bacilli; Caryophanales; Bacillaceae. The record is from RNAcentral.